Bombyx mori (domestic silkworm) is the source of this 84-nucleotide non-coding RNA. NCBI's taxonomy places the organism in Eukaryota, Metazoa, Arthropoda, Insecta, Lepidoptera, Bombycidae. The record is from Rfam.
UCGAACGAAAUUUGUAUGCAGUUGGAUCAGCGCCCCUAGCGGCAAACGUAGGCAAAUGUUUCACCUCCAUACUAAUUUGAGUUA